AACCGUAGUCGGGUUUUUUUUCUCGGCUUGACUCGGAUUAUCGGGUUGGUGCGGUUUGUCGGUUUUCUUUAUACACCCCUAUGUAGAUAUUUUUGCUUUAGCGAUAAAAUAAUGGCAAUUUCUAUGAAUAAUGCUUCUAGUAGUACUAGUGCAAUACGCCUGCUAACAAAAACUCUUAAUCAUGCAUUUAGUAAUAUUUUCCAUGUUAGAUGUAUUUGUCAUACUUAUCAUUUAAUUGUUGGUGA
This 245-nucleotide long non-coding RNA is filed under the name Nicotiana benthamiana. RNAcentral describes it as "long non-coding RNA (NBEN_LNC001162)". Lineage: Eukaryota; Viridiplantae; Streptophyta; Magnoliopsida; Solanales; Solanaceae. The record is from RNAcentral.